Molecule: ribosomal RNA, 468 nt
Filed under: uncultured bacterium
Lineage: Bacteria
Description: bacterial SSU rRNA
Rfam family: Bacterial small subunit ribosomal RNA
Source: RNAcentral
GACGAACGCUGGCGGCGCGCCUAACACAUGCAAGUCGAACGGAGCUUAGAGAGCUUGCUUUUUAAGCUUAGUGGCGAACGGGUGAGUAACGCGUGAGUAACCUGCCCUGGAGUGGGGGACAACAGUUGGAAACGACUGCUAAUACCGCAUAAGCCCACGGUACCGCAUGGCACUGAGGGAAAAGGAUUUAUUCGCUUUAGGAUGGACUCGCGUCCAAUUAGCUAGUUGGUGAGGUAACGGCCCACCAAGGCGACGAUUGGUAGCCGGACUGAGAGGUUGAACGGCCACAUUGGGACUGAGACACGGCCCAGACUCCUACGGGAGGCAGCAGUGGGGGGAUAUUGCACAAUGGGGGGAAACCCUGAUGCAGCGACGCCGCGUGGAGGAAGAAGGUUUUCGGAUUGUAAACUCCUGUCGUUAGGGACGAUAAUGACGGUACCUAACAAGAAAGCACCGGCUAACUACGUG